Molecule: ribosomal RNA, 216 nt
Filed under: Glomeromycotina sp.
Lineage: Eukaryota; Fungi; Glomeromycota
Description: partial small subunit ribosomal RNA
Rfam family: Eukaryotic small subunit ribosomal RNA (bases 75-216)
Source: RNAcentral
GGGUCAGUAGGUUGGUCGUGCCACCGGUACGUACUGGUCUCACUGAUUCCUCCUUCCCGAAGAACCGUAAUGCCAUUAAUUUGGUGUUGCGGGGAAACAGGACUGUUACUUUGAAGAAAUUAGAGUGUUUAAAGCAAGCUAACGCUUGAAUACAUUAGCAUGGAAUAAUGAAAUAGGACGAUCGAUCCUAUUUUGUUGGUUUCUAGGAUUGACGUA